AACGAACGCUGGCGGCAUGCCUAACACAUGCAAGUCGAACGAGACCUUCGGGUCUAGUGGCGCACGGGUGCGUAACGCGUGGGAAUCUGCCCUUAGGUUCGGAAUAACUUCGGGAAACUGAAGCUAAUACCGGAUGAUGACGUAAGUCCAAAGAUUUAUCGCCUAAGGAUGAGCCCGCGUUGGAUUAGCUAGUUGGUGAGGUAAAGGCUCACCAAGGCGACGAUCCAUAGCUGGUCUGAGAGGAUGAUCAGCCACACUGGGACUGAGACACGGCCCAGACUCCUACGGGAGGCAGCAGUGGGGAAUAUUGGACAAUGGGCGAAAGCCUGAUCCAGCAAUGCCGCGUGAGUGAUGAAGGCCUUAGGGUUGUAAAGCUCUUUUACCCGGGAUGAUAAUGACAGUACCGGGAGAAUAAGCUCCGGCUAACUCCGUGCCAGCAGCCGCGGU
This 447-nucleotide ribosomal RNA is filed under the name uncultured bacterium. RNAcentral's name for it is "bacterial SSU rRNA". It matches the Rfam family "Bacterial small subunit ribosomal RNA", at positions 29 to 521 of the family's 1533-position model. The record is from RNAcentral.